Molecule: ribosomal RNA, 433 nt
Filed under: uncultured bacterium
Lineage: Bacteria
Description: partial 16S ribosomal RNA
Rfam family: Bacterial small subunit ribosomal RNA
Source: RNAcentral
AGUGAACGCUGGCGGCAGGCCUAACACAUGCAAGUCGAACGGACCCUCCGGGAUUAGUGGCGGAUGGGUGAGUAACACGUGGGAACGUGCCCUUUGGUUCGGAACAACUCAGGGAAACUUGAGCUAAUACCGGACGUGCCCUUCGGGGGAAAGAUUUAUUGCGAUUGGUGCGGCCCGCGUCUGAUUAGCUAGUUGGUGAGGUAAUGGCCCACCAAGGCGACGAUCAGUAGCUGGUUUGAGAGGAUGAUCAGCGACACUGGGACUGAGACACGGCCCAGACUCCUACGGGAGGCAGCAGUGGGGAAUCUUGCGCAAUGGGCGGAAGCCUGACGCAGCCAUGCCGCGUGAAUGAUGAAGGUCGUAGGAUUGUAAAAUUCUUUCAGCGGGGACGAUAAUGACGGUACCCGCAGAAGAAGCUCCGGCUAACUUCGUG